Molecule: ribosomal RNA, 450 nt
Filed under: uncultured Glomeromycotina
Lineage: Eukaryota; Fungi; Glomeromycota
Description: SSU rRNA
Rfam family: Eukaryotic small subunit ribosomal RNA
Source: RNAcentral
AGCAGCCGCGGUAAUUCCAGCUCCAAUAGCGUAUAUUAAAGUUGUUGCAGUUAAAAAGCUCGUAGUUGAAUUUCGGGGUCAGUAGGUUGGUCAUGCCACUGGUAUGUACUGGCCUCACUGAUUCCUCCUUCCUGAUGAGCCGUAAUGCCAUUAAUUUGGUGUUGCGAGGAAUCUGGACUGUUACUUUGAAAAAUUAGAGUGUUUAAAGCAGGCUAACGCUUGAAUACAUUAGCAUGGAAUAAUGAAAUAGGACGUUCGAUCUUAUUUUGUUGGUUUCUAAGAUUGACGUAAUGAUUAAUAGGGAUAGUUGGGGCAUUAGUAUUCAAUUGUCAGAGGUGAAAUUCUUGGAUUUAUUGAAGACUAACUACUGCGAAAGCAUUUGCCAAGGAUAGUUUUCAUUAAUCAAGAACGAAAGUUAGGGGAUCGAAGACGAUCAGAUACCGUCGUAGU